This is a non-coding RNA of Salmo salar (Atlantic salmon), 54 nucleotides long. The record is from Rfam. Lineage: Eukaryota; Metazoa; Chordata; Actinopteri; Salmoniformes; Salmonidae.
UGUAUGCACGCAUGUAAGUCGCUUUGGAUAAAAGCAUCUGUUAAAUGGCAUAUA